Molecule: ribosomal RNA, 790 nt
Filed under: Clostridioides difficile
Lineage: Bacteria; Bacillati; Bacillota; Clostridia; Peptostreptococcales; Peptostreptococcaceae
Description: bacterial LSU rRNA
Rfam family: Bacterial large subunit ribosomal RNA
Source: RNAcentral
GCAGCCACUCAUUCAAAGAGUGCGUAAUAGCUCACUGGUCGAGUGAUCCUGCGCCGAAGAUUUCCGGGGCUAAAACUUACUCCCGAAGCUACGGCAUCAGUAAUGCUGGGUAGGGUAGCUUCCCAUACGGGUUGAAGCAUGACCGUAAGGACAUGUGGACAGUAUGGGAGUGAGAAUGUUGGCAUGAGUAGCGAGAUGUGGGUGAGAAUCCCACAGGCCGUAAACCCAAGGUUUCCAGGGGAAGGUUCGUCCGCCCUGGGUUAGUCGGGACCUAAGCUGAGGCCGAAAGGCGUAGGUGAUGGACAACAGGUUGAUAUUCCUGUACUACCGAUAACCGGUUGAGAGAAGGGAUGACACAGUAGGAUAAGCUAAGCACACUGUUGGUUAUGUGUGCCCAAGCAUUGAGGCAGUCAAAGUAGGCAAAUCCGCUUUGAUAAUGCUGGGAUGUGAUGGGGAGCGAAAUUUAGUAGCGAAGUAGCUGAUUUCACACUGUCAAGAAAAGUCUCUAUCGAGGUUAAAGGUACCCGUACCGCAAACCGACACAGGUGGGUGAGGAGAGUAUCCUAAGGCCAGCGAGAGAACUGUUGUUAAGGAACUCGGCAAAAUGACCCCGUAACUUAGGGAUAAGGGGUGCCACCAUCAGGUGGCCGCAGAGAAUAGGCCCAAGCGACUGUUUACCAAAAACAUAGGUUUCUGCUAAGUCGCAAGACGAUGUAUAGGAGCUGACGCCUGCCCGGUGCUGGAAGGUUAAGGGGAUCUGUUAGAGCAAUCGAAGCAGUGAACUUAAGCC